AUUUAACCUCAAAUCAGGUAAGAAUACCCGCUGAACUUAAGCAUAUCAAUAAGCGGAGGAAAAGAAAAUAACAAUGAUUCCCUUAGUAACUGCGAGUGAAGAGGGACAAGCUCAAAUUUUAAAUCUGUUAGGUUCAUCUAACCGAGUUGUAAUUUGAAGAGGCGUUUUCUGCGUUUUUGAUCAGUCCAAGUCCUUUGGAAUAAGGCAUCAUGGAGGGUGAGAAUCCCGUUCGGUUGAUCAAAUUUGCUUUAUGAUACGUCAUCUAAGAGUCAAGUUGUUUGGGAUUGCAGCUUAAAAUGGGAGGUAAAUUUCUCCUAAGGCUAAAUAACGGCGAGAGACCGAUAGCGAACAAGUACCGUGAGGGAAAGAUGAAAAGAACUUUGAAAAGAGAGUCAAAUAGUACGUGAAAUUGUUGAAAGGGAAACGAUUGAAGUCAGUCGUACCUGCGGGAUAAUCAGCCUUUCGAGUAUGAUUCUGUGGAGUGUAAGGAGUUUAACCGUCUUCAUACCUGCAUAUUCGUGCGCUUUGGGUGUACUUGUCCGUAUGGUAGGUUAACAUCAAUUUUGGUCGUUAUAAAAUGACUAGGGGAAUGUAGCUUUGAUCCCGUAUUGAAGUGUUAUAGUCUCUGGUAAAUGCAGUGACUAGGAUUGAGGAUUGCAACGGAUACCUUUCGGGGCUACUCGUCUGAUCUCUGGAAGUUACUUUGGUGCUAAAAGCUUGCUUAUGGUUAUCGAAGUUGACGGUCAAUAGGUUAGAACGAGUUAAAUUCGUUAAGGAUGUUGACGUAAUGGCUUUAAACGACCCGUCUUGAAACACGGACCAAGGAGUCUAACAUAUAUGCGAGUGUU
RNAcentral lists this ribosomal RNA (848 nucleotides) under Rhizophagus intraradices. RNAcentral describes it as "eukaryotic LSU rRNA". It matches the Rfam family "Eukaryotic large subunit ribosomal RNA", at positions 1 to 694 of the family's 3401-position model. The record is from RNAcentral. Lineage: Eukaryota; Fungi; Glomeromycota; Glomeromycetes; Glomerales; Glomeraceae.